This 58-nucleotide microRNA precursor is filed under the name Cavia porcellus (domestic guinea pig). RNAcentral's name for it is "microRNA cpo-mir-147 precursor". Its record names the gene cpo-mir-147. It matches the Rfam family "mir-147 microRNA precursor family", at positions 9 to 65 of the family's 78-position model. Lineage: Eukaryota; Metazoa; Chordata; Mammalia; Rodentia; Caviidae. The record is from miRBase by way of RNAcentral.
CGGAAACACUUCCGGACAGGCUUGGGUCUGGACACCAGUGUGCGGAAGUGCUUCUGCU